UCUCACUCUGUCACCCAGGCUGGAGUGCAAUGGUGUGAUCUUGGCUUACUGCAACCUCUGCCUCCCAGGGUUCAAGUAAUUCUCCUGCCUCAGCGUCCCCAGUAGCUGGGACUACAGGUACUAUGCAAUUUACGACUCUGGAGACCGGCAAGGGCUCCUGGAUGCCUACCAUGAUGGGGCCUGCUGUUCCCUGAGCAUUCCUUUCAUUCCUCAGAACCCUGCCCGAAGCAGCUUGGCCGAGUAUUUCAAGGAUAGCAGAAAUGUGAAGAAGCUUAAAGACCCUACCUUGCGGUUCCGGCUGCUGAAGCACACGCGUCUCAACGUUGUUGCCUUCCUCAAUGAGUUGCCCAAAACCCAGCACGACGUCAAUUCCUUUGUGGUAGACAUAAGCGCCCAGACAAGCACACUGCUGUGUUUUUCUGUCAAUGGAGUCUUCAAGGAAGUGGACGGAAAGUCCCGGGAUUCUUUGCGAGCCUUCACCCGGACGUUCAUUGCUGUUCCUGCUAGCAAUUCAGGGCUAUGUAUUGUAAACGACGAGCUAUUUGUGCGGAAUGCCAGUUCUGAAGAGAUCCAAAGAGCCUUCGCUAUGCCUGCACCCACGCCUUCCUCCAGCCCAGUGCCCACCCUCUCUCCAGAGCAGCAGGAAAUGUUGCAAGCAUUCUCUACCCAGUCUGGCAUGAACCUCGAGUGGUCCCAGAAGUGCCUUCAGGACAACAACUGGGACUACACCAGAUCUGCCCAGGCCUUCACUCAUCUCAAGGCCAAGGGCGAGAUCCCCGAAGUGGCAUUCAUGAAGUGAUCGUAGUCAUGCCUCAGAAGCAGCCCCCCUGUAAAUAGUCCUUGGAUAUUACCGUCUGGUUGUCGUCUGUCAUCUCCUCCUGUCUGGCCCGAGGCCGCCCCGUGACUGUGACCCAGGGAGGG
This 921-nucleotide small RNA is filed under the name Pongo abelii (Sumatran orangutan). RNAcentral's name for it is "processed transcript". Lineage: Eukaryota; Metazoa; Chordata; Mammalia; Primates; Hominidae. The record is from RNAcentral.